This 312-nucleotide ribosomal RNA is filed under the name uncultured bacterium. RNAcentral's name for it is "bacterial SSU rRNA". It matches the Rfam family "Bacterial small subunit ribosomal RNA", at positions 772 to 1084 of the family's 1533-position model. The record is from RNAcentral.
ACCUAAUAGAUACCCGGGUAGUCCACGCCCUAAACGAUGCGAACUGGAUGUUGGGUACAUUACGGUACUCAGUGUCGAAAGCUAAACGCGUUAAGUUCGCCGCCUGGGGAGUACGGUCGCAAGACUGAAACUCAAAGGAAUUGACGGGGGCCCGCACAAGCGGUGGAGUAUGUGGUUUAAUUCGAUGCAACGCGAAGAACCUUACCUGGCCUUGACAUCUGUCGAAUCCUGCAGAGAUGCGGGAGUGCCGCAAGGAACGACAAGACAGGUGCUGCAUGGCUGUCGUCAGCUCGUGUCGUGAGACUGGUUAGG